RNAcentral lists this non-coding RNA (101 nucleotides) under Lotharella oceanica. The record is from RNAcentral. Lineage: Eukaryota; Cercozoa; Chlorarachniophyceae.
CCUCAUUGAGAGAGGGCUAUAUAAUAAAUAAAUAAAAAUAAAAACCCCCUUUUUUUUUUUGUUUUUUAAAUUCGUAUUUUUUUUUUUUUUUUUUUUUUUUU